UAUCCAUUGGAGGGCAAGUCUGGUGCCAGCAGCUGCGGUAAUACCAGCUCCAAUAGCGUAUAUUAAAGUUGUUGCAGUUAAAAAGCUCGUAGUUGGACUUGUGUGCGCUGUCCGCGGGUGGCCUGCGCCCAAAAGGGCGUUUCUGUUCGGCCCCGGUGGCGCCUUGAAAUCUGCAGCUGGGGGGACGUUGGCCUUAACUGGUCGGCGACCGCACGCCGGCUGCUCGGUUACCGUGAGAAAAUUAGAGUGUUCAAGGCAGGCAUUGGGUGCAAUUGAAUACAUUAGCAUGGAAUAAUAAAAUAUGGCUCCUGCCGUAUUUUGUUGGUUUUGACUGGUGGGAGUAAUGAUUGAUAGGGACGGUUGGGGGUGCUAGUAUUGAGCGGCCAGAGGUGAAAUUCAUGGAUUCGCUCAAGACUAACUUAUGCGAAAGCAUUCACCAAGGACGUCCUCUUUAAUCAAGAACGAAAGUUGGGGGAUCGAAGACGAUCAGAUACCGUCGUAGUCUCAACCAUAAACUAUGUCGACUUGGGAUCGGCGGUAGUUUUUUCAUUAAGACACUGUCGGGACCACGGGAGAAAUCAAAGUGUCUGGACUCUGGGGGAAGUAUGGUCGCAAGGCUGAAACUUGAAGGAAUUGACGGAAGGGCACCACCAGGAGUGGAGCCUGCGGCUUAAUUUGACCCAACACGGGGAAACUUACCAGGUCCAGAGAUGUAGAGGAUUGACAGAUUGAAGCUCUUUCUUGAUCACUUCGGUGGUGGUGCAUGGCCGUUCUUAGUUGGUGGAGUGAUUUGUCUGGUUAAUUCCGUUAACGAACGAGACCUCAGCCUGCUAGUGUAGUCGGCUGGAUUGCCUUUGGCGAUCCGUGAUUUCGACUUCUUAGAGGGACAAUCGACGCGCAGUCGAUGGAAGUUUGAGGCAAUAACAGGUCUGUGAUGCCCUUAGAUGUUCUGGGCCGCACGCGCGCUACACUGCUGGGCUCAGCGAGUUUUACUUGGCCGAGAGGCCCGGUUAAUCUUGUGAAAUCCCAGCGUGCUUGGGCUCGCCUCCUGCAACUGGAGGCGCCAACGAGGAAUUCCUAGUAGACGCAGGUCAUCAACCUGCAUCGAUUACGUCCCUGCCCUUUGUACACACCGCCCGUCGUUCCAUAAGAGUGAGGCAUCCGGUGAAUUCUCGGGAGAGCCUGGGCGUGGCCAGCAAUGGUCUGCUCGGGUUUGAACUUGCAUAAACUUGGUGCCUAUGAUUAGGG
This 1248-nucleotide ribosomal RNA is filed under the name metagenome. RNAcentral's name for it is "SSU rRNA". It matches the Rfam family "Eukaryotic small subunit ribosomal RNA", at positions 542 to 1783 of the family's 1831-position model. The record is from RNAcentral.